UUUUUCCAAUACUAUGUUGUUACAGGGUGGUUAACUUCGCCAGCGGCCCCCUUUCCCGGGGCAGUCCCUGCUCUCCCCUGCUAGAGGGGCACCCUAAUCCGUCACCCCAUCCGACUUCAGAAUGUAUUCGUUGGGUUCGGCAACUCACCACCAGCAUCCAACCAAAUCUAGCGGAUCAACGGCGCAUCAACUUAGUUCCUGGUCAGCUCGCAAGUUGAUAUUAUCACGUCCUACACCGUCCAUAAGAUGGGGGGCCACCUCCCAUUUCAUCACUCCUCAAACACCCGANN
RNAcentral lists this long non-coding RNA (290 nucleotides) under Volvox carteri. RNAcentral's name for it is "long non-coding RNA (VCAR_LNC003915)". The record is from RNAcentral. Lineage: Eukaryota; Viridiplantae; Chlorophyta; Chlorophyceae; Chlamydomonadales; Volvocaceae.